This 538-nucleotide long non-coding RNA is filed under the name Heterocephalus glaber (naked mole-rat). RNAcentral describes it as "lncRNA (ENSHGLG00100043026.1)". The record is from RNAcentral. Lineage: Eukaryota; Metazoa; Chordata; Mammalia; Rodentia; Bathyergidae.
CUGCUUCAGUGCAAGUAUCAGGCACCCUCAUUCAGAAAGAGGAAACUGGAGGAAGUAUAUUAAUGAAGAGUAGAAGUUUUCUUUCCUUUGCCUGUCUUUAAUUGGGUAGAAUCCAGGGAAAAUAGACAACAUGAGAGUGUGAGGAAGACUAUCAGAGAAGAAGAAGGGGAUGAGGGAGAGAUAAAAUGAUGUUGAAGCAUGUGAGCUUGACUGAAGAAGAGCAAUACAACACUCAAAAUCACAAUUAAGAUGAUACCUGGUGUCACUGGGGGCUGCUUCAUCUCAAGCAAUGGGAGUGAUGUGGAGAUAUUUCCAUUCCACUACUCUUUCUGUGAUUUGUAUGAUGGCAUCUUAUAUGUUGGGUAGAGAACACAGGAGUGGUGGUAACAUUUGCUAGUUUGAAUAGUUUUAAAACUGAACUUACAGACUGAACUGUAGUCAACAUUGUUGAAAUGUUAGAACUUCUGCAUGGAAAGAAAAACAUGAACAAAAUAGGAACCAAAUCACUCUCUCAUAAUCAAACGCACUACAAAAAGCC